GACGAACGCUGGCGGCGUGCUUAACACAUGCAAGUCGAACGGUAAGGCCCUUCGGGGUACACGAGUGGCGAACGGGUGAGUAACACGUGGGUGAUCUGCCCUGCACUUCGGGAUAAGCCUGGGAAACUGGGUCUAAUACCGGAUAGGACUCCUGGCUUCAUGGUUGGGGGUGGAAAGCUUUUGCGGUGUGGGAUGGGCCCGCGGCCCAUCGGCUUGUUGGUGGGGUAAUGGCCUACCAAGGCGACGACGGGUAGCCGGCCUGAGAGGGUGACCGGUCACACUGGGACUGAGAUACGGCCCAGACUCCUACGGGAGGCAGCAGUGGGGAAUAUGGCACAAUGGGCGCAAGCCUGAUGCAGCGACGCCGCGUGAGGGAUGACGGCCUUCGGGUUGUAAACCUCUUUCAGCUAUGACGAAGCGCAAGUGACGGUAGUAGCAGAAGAAGGACCGGCCAACUACGUGCCAGCAGCCGCGGUAA
RNAcentral lists this ribosomal RNA (478 nucleotides) under uncultured bacterium. RNAcentral's name for it is "partial 16S ribosomal RNA". It matches the Rfam family "Bacterial small subunit ribosomal RNA", at positions 28 to 523 of the family's 1533-position model. The record is from RNAcentral.